RNAcentral lists this ribosomal RNA (303 nucleotides) under Triticum aestivum (bread wheat). RNAcentral's name for it is "partial small subunit ribosomal RNA". The record is from RNAcentral. Lineage: Eukaryota; Viridiplantae; Streptophyta; Magnoliopsida; Poales; Poaceae.
AUGUUCAUCCAUGUUACUGGAGAAACCAAUGAUCCUAGACUAGGGAAAACAUGUUAUGCACUGGAAGCUGGAAGCAGCAGUUCUAUGCCACCAAUCGCUCCCGCAAGAAGAGAUAUAAAUGAAGAGAUGCCAACUUAUUGCCAAGAAAGCAGAAGUGAUGAAGGAGUAAUUCAAAUGCAAGAAGGAUAUGUAGCCCUAACACCCAAUUUUUCUAAAAUUUAUUUUCUAAAUUUUAUUUUCUUCUUCUUCUGUUUCAUUGUUUUUCUAAAUUUUCUAAACAAUUCACAUUAUUUUAUUUUCUGA